GGGUGCGUAACGCGUAUAGAAUCUGCCUUGUACGGGAGGAUAGCCUUUAAAAAUGAAGAUUAAUACUCCAUAGUGUUGUGAACUGGCAUCAGUUUAUAAUUAAAGAUUUAUCGGUGCAAGAUGACUAUGCGUCCUAUUAGCUAGAUGGUAAGGUAACGGCUUACCGUGGCGACGAUGGGUAGGGGGUCUGAGAGGAUUAUCCCCCACACUGGUACUGACACACGGACCACACUCCUACGGGAGGCAGCAGUGAGGAAUAUUGGUCAAUGGAGGCAACUCUGAACCACCCAUGCCGCGUGCAAGAAGACUGCCCUAUGGGUUGUAAACUGCUUUUAUACAGGAAGAAACAGAACUACGUGUAGUUCCUUGACGGUACUGUAAGAAUAAGCACCGGCUAACUCCGUGCCAGCAGCCGCGGUAAUACGGAGGGUGCAAGCGUUAUCCGGAAUCAUUGGGUUUAAAGGG
RNAcentral lists this ribosomal RNA (465 nucleotides) under marine sediment bacterium BB0608_AND_6.1_5G0. Its description in RNAcentral is "bacterial SSU rRNA". It matches the Rfam family "Bacterial small subunit ribosomal RNA", at positions 104 to 567 of the family's 1533-position model. The record is from RNAcentral.